Molecule: ribosomal RNA, 429 nt
Filed under: bacterium
Lineage: Bacteria
Description: partial 16S ribosomal RNA
Rfam family: Bacterial small subunit ribosomal RNA
Source: RNAcentral
UAGGGAAUCUUCGGCAAUGGGGGCAACCCUGACCGAGCAACGCCGCGUGAGUGAAGAAGGUUUUCGGAUCGUAAAGCUCUGUUGUAAGAGAAGAACGUGUGUGAGAGUGGAAAGUUCACACAGUGACGGUAACUUACCAGAAAGGGACGGCUAACUACGUGCCAGCAGCCGCGGUAAUACGUAGGUCCCGAGCGUUGUCCGGAUUUAUUGGGCGUAAAGCGAGCGCAGGCGGUUUAAUAAGUCUGAAGUUAAAGUCAGUGGCUUAACCAUUGUUCGCUUUGGAAACUGUUAAACUUGAGUGCAGAAGGGGAGAGUGGAAUUCCAUGUGUAGCGGUGAAAUGCGUAGAUAUAUGGAGGAACACCGGUGGCGAAAGCGGCUCUCUGGUCUGUAACUGACGCUGAGGCUCGAAAGCGUGGGGAGCAAACAGG